This 946-nucleotide long non-coding RNA is filed under the name Ovis aries (sheep). RNAcentral describes it as "lncRNA (ENSOARG00000026419.1)". Lineage: Eukaryota; Metazoa; Chordata; Mammalia; Artiodactyla; Bovidae. The record is from RNAcentral.
AUGGGGCCAGCAAGACAGCCCGGAUCCCACCCAGGUGUUCACCACCCUGGCAGUGACACAUCAACCUUGGAAGACCGUGGUUGUGGUAGAGAUCCGGCAUUGGUUGGCAUACCACGCUGCUUCAGUGUAGUAGCCAUUGGCUCCCCUGACAUGCGGGUGGGAAACCUGGCAAAUCCAGGGUCUUCCCCUGCCUGUUUUUGUGAAGUCUUCCUGGAAGCGGCCUUAGUGAUCUGUGAGCGCUUGGUGGUCUUGCGUGGUGGGGACAAGCCGCCAGGCAGGAUGGCAUGGUGUUGCCAUAAUGAAAGCCACCUUCUUCCUGUGGGUCUUGCUGAGUGCUGAUUGCCCUGUGUGAGUAGAGCCCUUGGAGGCUUCUGAUGUGGGUGAGUCACCCUGGGAGGCAGAAGGAGUUCAAUUUAGACCAAGUCUUGCUUUAUGGGAGCUUUCUCUAGGGUGUGGUUGGUGCCCAGGGCCCUGCAGGCUGUGGAUCUGAGCAUAAUCUGGCCAGGAAAUGGGCCCCGUUUCUGUGGGAGUAACCCCUGGAUCCUGGUACCUGAGGACGACCACCUCUUGUCUUGCGCUUUCCGGCGGACGCACAAUUGCACUCAUCUCACACACUAGUAAAGUAAUGCUCAAAAUUCUCCAAGCCAGGCUUCAGCAAUACAUGAACUGUCAACUUCCAGAUGUUCAAGCUGGUUUUAGAGAAGGCUUCUGAUGUGAGUGAGUCACCCUGGGGGACAGGAGGAGUUCAAUUUGGACCAAGUCUUGCUUUGUGGAGGUGACAGAAUUCCAGUUGAGCUAUUUCAAAUCCUGGAAGAUGAUGCUAUGAAAGUGCUGCCCUCAAUAUGCUAGCAAAUUUGGAAAACUCAGCAGUGGCCACAGGACUGGAAAAGGUCAGGUUUCAUUCCAAUCCCAAAGAAAGCCAAAGAAUGCUCAAAAUACUGCAGAG